ACGGGUGCGUAACGCGUAUGCAACCUACCUUAUACUGAGGGAUAGCCCAGAGAAAUUUGGAUUAAUACCUUAUAGUAUAUCGAGUUGGCAUCAACAUGAUAUUAAAGAUUUAUCGGUGAAAGAUGAGCAUGCGUCCCAUUAGUUAGUUGGUAAGGUAACGGCUUACCAAGACAGCGAUGGGUAGGGGCCCUGAGAGGGGGAUCCCCCACACUGGUACUGAGACACGGACCAGACUCC
Molecule: ribosomal RNA, 237 nt
Filed under: uncultured bacterium
Lineage: Bacteria
Description: partial 16S ribosomal RNA
Rfam family: Bacterial small subunit ribosomal RNA
Source: RNAcentral